UACGUAGGGACCGAGCGUUGUCCGGAUUCAUUGGGCGUAAAGAGCUCGUAGGCGGCCACUCAAGUCGAAUGUGAAACCUCAAGGCUUAACCUCGAGCCUGCAUUCGAUACUGGGCGGCUAGAGUCUGGUAGGGGGAUCUGGAAUUCCUGGUGUAGCGGUGGAAUGCGCAGAUAUCAGGAGGAACACCGGUGGCGAAGGCGGCAUCCUGGACCGGUAUUGACGCUGAGGCGCGAAAGCUAGGGGAGCAAACGGG
RNAcentral lists this ribosomal RNA (253 nucleotides) under uncultured bacterium. RNAcentral describes it as "partial 16S ribosomal RNA". It matches the Rfam family "Bacterial small subunit ribosomal RNA", at positions 524 to 776 of the family's 1533-position model. The record is from RNAcentral.